ACCAGGAGGAAGGAAGUGGUCCUCUUCUAAAGGAAGGAGCAGCCUUCUCCGGAGUUCCUGGGGGCUUUUGCUUAGGCUUUAAUGGCCAGAACUAACACAAGACUACGGCUAGUUAGUUGUAAGGGAAGCUGGGAAGGCAAGCCUUUCGGUUUUCCAGCCUGUCCAGUGGAAGCAGGUGAUGCAGAGGAGGAUUACAAGUGACUGCAGGAGCAGCCAAACAUAUUUGGCAACAGUGGGCCCUUUCCCUGGCACGUGGCUCUCAGCACAGUAAAAGAGCAGCUGUCCCUCUAGAAGCCCUUCAGUCCUCUGUGGCUGCCAGUGCUACUUCACUCAUUUGUGUCACCUGCCUGGCCCCUGCGGACGUGUGAGUGGACCUCCCCUUCACCGGGUGGUGCACCGGCUGGCUUCCCUGGGUCCUGCGAGGCUGUGGGGUGCCAGAGCCCCUGAGGAGCGGGCAGGUCAGGGCUGUGGGACUCAUUCUGUUUCUGAGGCAGGUCACUCACAUGUCUUGCCUCUCUCCCUGCCUGUGUGCAUCAGUGCCCUCCUUGCCUCCCUGUUGGUCCAGUUGGCUUUCGGAAGAACCAGAAGAGACUAAAGGAACCCCAGGAGGGUAAAUGAACAAACCCAGAAUCUCCCUCCUUGCCUGGUAUUCCCAUCUGGUCAAGCACCCCACCUGCAAAGGGGGUCUCAUUCCUUCUCCUUUUCUAGACCUCAGGAAGGAAAUGAUGGACUUCAGGAAGAUGCUGAAAAAGAGGUCCCCACCUCCAGCUCCUGAAAAAAAGAUAGAGUCAGAGCAGGUGUGGCAGCUGCUGAUGAAUGCAGACCGGAAGGACUACGAGAAGAUCUGCUUGAAGUAUGGAAUUGUGGACUUCCGGGGGAUGCUGCGUAAGCUGCAGGAGAUGAAGAAGGAGCAGGAGGACGAGAUGGCAAAGGUGCCCUCCUCACCCUGCCCCGGGCCUACACCUGGCAUACAGGCACCUGCAGGGGCUCCAGGAGUUGGGCCUGGGGGAAACUCAACAUGGCUGGGGGUCACUAGCCCCUAGUGAGGUGUCCUACCAGGGGCCCAGUCUUCCAAGUUGGCAUCUUGGCUUUGAAACCUGGUUCUGAUAUAGAGUCUGAGGCUUUGGAAAAGUUAGGAUCUCUGUGUCUUGUUUCCCUCAUCUGUAAAAUGGGGAUUAUAGUCACACCCAACUCCAAAGGUGAAUGAGAGCACAAAUACAAGAAUGUAGUUAAAGAAAUCAGCCUAGUGCCUGACACAUUGCAAGGAAGGUCUGAUGUCAGCUGUCAUCUUCACCACCAUCCUCGUCCUCACCGGACAUGGUGCACAUAGUUUAUUUCUAAAGCUUUCCAGGAGAGAGAAUUUCACAGUUGCUAUUAGUACUUCAAUUCCAGUGUCCUCUGGACUGCAUAGGAAGUUCUUUCCUGUGUCUAACAUAACUGUAAGUCUGAUUUUUUCUUCUGGAAAUGGAAAACAGGUAGUUUUCAUUAUCUUGAAAACAGUACUUUAUCUCUUUAAGGUGAUUCCUCAAACCUUCCACCUAGGGCCUCAGCUCUGAGCUUUCUUGUCUCCUUUAACACAGGAAUUGGCACAGAGCUUUCCAUAUGUGAGCCGUUCAACUCAGGUUUAUUAGCUGGCAGGGCAGAUGAAUGGGAAUUCCUAGUAUGUUCUCGUAGUACCUGGGCACCUGGGGUCCUUUCCUGUCUGCCUUUAGACCUGAUCUGUCAUUUAGAGAAUUUCCUUCAUUGGGGACUUAAGUCUCCCUGCUUGAGAGACAGGCGAAGGCUUGCCCAGCUGGGACACUGAGCAGUGAUAGGACUGGGAUCCCUAGGGGUUUGGAGAGAGAGAGAGAGAGAGAGGGAGGGAGGGAGGCAGAGAGAGAGAGCAAGCGCUCUGAGAGAUGCCCAGAUGGGUUUGUCUGCCCUUUAGUAUGUCAGCGCCAUCUCCAACUUGAGACACAUCAGGGUCACCAAGGAGGGAGUUGCCACGUUUGACCUGGAGCUCGAUCUGAAGGACCUUGAGAGCAAGAUUCACUUGUACAAGGUGAGUCUGGGCAGGCCGUGGGGCAGGGGCUCCAGGGGAGGAUGCAGGUCCUAGG
RNAcentral lists this long non-coding RNA (2096 nucleotides) under Fukomys damarensis (Damara mole-rat). RNAcentral's name for it is "lncRNA (ENSFDAG00000022215.1)". Lineage: Eukaryota; Metazoa; Chordata; Mammalia; Rodentia; Bathyergidae. The record is from RNAcentral.